Molecule: non-coding RNA, 29 nt
Filed under: Mus musculus (house mouse)
Lineage: Eukaryota; Metazoa; Chordata; Mammalia; Rodentia; Muridae
Source: RNAcentral
UGCUCUAGACGAUUAACAGCCGCUGAGGG